Molecule: long non-coding RNA, 280 nt
Filed under: Nicotiana benthamiana
Lineage: Eukaryota; Viridiplantae; Streptophyta; Magnoliopsida; Solanales; Solanaceae
Description: long non-coding RNA (NBEN_LNC025186)
Source: RNAcentral
AAGAAUGUACACUGAGCUAUAAUUUUAUUUAGCUUUCUCCCACUACGACGAAGUACUACUAAUAUUACCUUCAUUACCUCACGACAUUUAGAUAUUAGUAACUUCUUACUGUAGUGUCCAGUGUUCAAAUAUCACUCCCACUCUAUUACCUCACGAUAUUGAAAUAUUAGUAACUUCUUACUGUAGUGUUCAAUGUUCAAACACCACUCCCACUCGAUAAAGGCAUAUCAUGUCUAUUAACGUUCUCCCACAAUUUAAAUGCAAUGGAACGUCAAUUCUG